This 73-nucleotide transfer RNA is filed under the name Acanthosaura lepidogaster. Its description in RNAcentral is "tRNA-Asn". The record is from RNAcentral. Lineage: Eukaryota; Metazoa; Chordata; Lepidosauria; Squamata; Agamidae.
CCGGAUAAGUGGGCCUCGAUCCCACUAUUUGACAGUUAACAGCUGACCGUCCAACCCAGAGGACAUUAAUCCG